Molecule: small nuclear RNA, 107 nt
Organism: Colobus angolensis palliatus
Lineage: Eukaryota; Metazoa; Chordata; Mammalia; Primates; Cercopithecidae
Source: Ensembl
GUGUUCGCUUCAGCAGUCCAUAUACUGAAACUGGAACCAUACAGAGAAGAUUAGUAUGGCCUUUGGACAAGGAUGACAUGCAAACUUGUGAAGUGUUCCAUAAAAAA